GACGAACGCUGGCGGCGUGCUUAACACAUGCAAGUCGAACGGAAAGGCCCUGCUUUUGUGGGGUGCUCGAGUGGCGAACGGGUGAGUAACACGUGAGUAACCUGCCCUUGACUUUGGGAUAACUUCAGGAAACUGGGGCUAAUACCGGAUAGGAGCUCCUGCUGCAUGGUGGGGGUUGGAAAGUUUCGGCGGUUGGGGAUGGACUCGCGGCUUAUCAGCUUGUUGGUGGGGUAGUGGCUUACCAAGGCUUUGACGGGUAGCCGGCCUGAGAGGGUGACCGGCCACAUUGGGACUGAGAUACGGCCCAGACUCCUACGGGAGGCAGCAGUGGGGAAUAUUGCACAAUGGGCGGAAGCCUGAUGCAGCAACGCCGCGUGCGGGAUGACGGCCUUCGGGUUGUAAGCCGCUUUCGCCUGUGACGAAGCGUGAGUGACGGUAAUGGGGAAAGAAGCACCGGCUAACUACGUG
RNAcentral lists this ribosomal RNA (468 nucleotides) under uncultured bacterium. RNAcentral describes it as "partial 16S ribosomal RNA". It matches the Rfam family "Bacterial small subunit ribosomal RNA", at positions 28 to 507 of the family's 1533-position model. The record is from RNAcentral.